Schistosoma mattheei is the source of this 45-nucleotide non-coding RNA. Lineage: Eukaryota; Metazoa; Platyhelminthes; Trematoda; Strigeidida; Schistosomatidae. The record is from Rfam.
AUCCAGCUCACUAAUCCCAAAUAGGACGAAACGCGCGUUCUGGAU